UGUGGCUCAGUGGUUGAGCGCUUGCCUUACAUGCAGGAGACACUGGGUUAGAACCUCAGCA
RNAcentral lists this transfer RNA (61 nucleotides) under Ictidomys tridecemlineatus (thirteen-lined ground squirrel). RNAcentral describes it as "Spermophilus tridecemlineatus (thirteen-lined ground squirrel) tRNA". It matches the Rfam family "tRNA", at positions 6 to 65 of the family's 71-position model. Rfam says of the family: Transfer RNA (tRNA) molecules are approximately 80 nucleotides in length. The record is from Rfam by way of RNAcentral. Lineage: Eukaryota; Metazoa; Chordata; Mammalia; Rodentia; Sciuridae.